GACGAACGCUGGCGGCGUGCUUAACACAUGCAAGUCGAACGGAAAGGCCCUGCUUUUGUGGGGUGCUCGAGUGGCGAACGGGUGAGUAACACGUGAGUAACCUGCCCUUGACUUUGGGAUAACUUCAGGAAACUGGGGCUAAUACCGGAUAGGAGCUCCUGCUGCAUGGUGGGGGUUGGAAAGUUUCGGCGGUUGGGGAUGGACUCGCGGCUUAUCAGCUUGUUGGUGGGGUAGUGGCUUACCAAGGCUUUGACGGGUAGCCGGCCUGGGAGGGUGACCGGCCACAUUGGGACUGAGAUACGGCCCAGACUCCUACGGGCGGCAGCAGUGGGGAAUAUUGUACAAUGGGCGGAAGCCUGAUGCAGCAACGCCGCGUGCGGGAUGACGGCCUUCGGGUUGUAAACCGCUUUCGCCUGUGACGAAGCGUGAGUGACGGUAAUGGGUAAAGAAGCACCGGCUAACUACGUG
RNAcentral lists this ribosomal RNA (468 nucleotides) under uncultured bacterium. RNAcentral describes it as "partial 16S ribosomal RNA". It matches the Rfam family "Bacterial small subunit ribosomal RNA", at positions 28 to 507 of the family's 1533-position model. The record is from RNAcentral.